This is an unclassified non-coding RNA of Callithrix jacchus (white-tufted-ear marmoset), 300 nucleotides long. It matches the Rfam family "Metazoan signal recognition particle RNA". From Rfam's summary of the family: The signal recognition particle (SRP) is a universally conserved ribonucleoprotein. It is involved in the co-translational targeting of proteins to membranes. The record is from Ensembl. NCBI's taxonomy places the organism in Eukaryota, Metazoa, Chordata, Mammalia, Primates, Cebidae.
GCUGGGCGCGAUGGUGUGUGCCUGUAGUCCCAGCUACUCGGGAAGCUGAGGUGGGAGGAUCGCUUGAGCCCAGGAGUUCUGGGCUAUAGUGCACUAUGCCCAUUUGGUGUCCACACUAAGUUUGGUGUCAGUAUGGUGACCUCCUGGGAGCGGGGGACCACCAGGUUGCCUAAGGAAUGGUGAACUGGCCCAGGUCAGAAACGGAGCAGGUCAAAACUCCCGUGCCGAUCAGUAGUGGGAUCGCACCUGUGAAUAGCCAUUGUACUCCAGCCUGGGCAACAUAGAGAGACCAAGUCUCUU